AAUGCAAAGAUUCGUAGAUUUCUCUAAGCGUCUUAAAAGUUUAGCCUACAAGCAACUUGGAAGCCAUCAGAGACUUAAGCAAUGAAAUGUUGUGGCAGCUUUUUGUUUUGUUCUAUUUUUCCCUNNNNNNNNNNNNNNNNNNNNNNNNNNNNNNNNNNNNNNNNNNNNNNNNUUUUCCGCCAUCAGGUAUUUAAGAUCAUUUGGGAGAGCAGGUGCUUGAAGAUUAGCUCCGACAGAAGAGGGAGAUGUGGAUUGGUUGGAGUAGAGUAAAGGGUUUCCUGCAUCACAGCGGAUUUGCUGAGAUCCCACUCUUUUUGAAGAAAACUACUCUGGACCAAUGGAAAUGGUUAAACCAUAGGAUUAUAUUACUUUUCGUUUGUGGGCACAUCCAGGUGGAAAUAAGAACUUGCAUUCUUAUCAGCAGAAGGAAAAUUUUUAGCAUAUAGGAAGAACUAUUGUCAGCAUCUGUGGAAAAAGCCUUAGCUUUACUCCCCCAUGGAAGAAAGCCAACGAAAGCCGCCCCAUGAAUUUAACUUGAUAGAUGUUGAUUCUCUGCCUGAAGAAGAGAACCAAGCUGGGAAAGCUGGACUGGAAAGUAGGAAGAGUUUGCUUCCAUAAGACCAAUGGUCUGUCUGUGACAGACAGUGGCUCAGUUUUGACAAGCAUGUAGAGAGUACACACAUUGGCCGAAUCCUGCAUUGGAGGUCAGAGAUAUAAAGAUUUUAUGACUUGGAAUAACUGAAUCUCACUAUCUCGUCCCAACAUGACCCCAAAGAGAAUGACUUGACAGGGGUUAAAUGUAUGUUUGGGCUCUAAAGCUGUACAGAUCUAGAUUCAGAACAAGGUUUGCCACAGAAUCACUGUGUGACUUUGGACAGGGGAAAAGUAAAUCUAAGUAGAUGUUCUCAUAUUUCCCCACUUCACCCUAGUACACUACCUCAGUGUGCUGUGCUGGGGGAGAAUCUGCCUGGACUGCGUACUGGAGGAGUUUAAGGUCUUGGAGCCUACGUCAGGUGGAACAUGCCCAACUUACUGGUCACCAUUAUAAUCUCACCAGGAUACCAUAUGGUAUUACCUAUCCAAAAAAAAAGAAAAGAAUUAAAGAAUAAAGGCAAUGCAAAACGUUGGAGAGCCAAUCUGAAAUCAAUUGACAGGCAUGAACAUUUGUUAAUAACAUGAGUAUAAGCAGAUGGAGAAGGAAUUGUACUGAACAUUCUCCAAAUAUAGAAACAAUCUACUGGAGAAAGUCAGACAAACAUGGUGUGUCCAAAAAUCUGUUUCCGUCUUAAAGCUUGAGUCUUUAUGGAGUAAGAAUUUUCAAAUGACCCCUUGCUUAUUUUGCAAAACUAAGGUAAAGGCGUUAAUGUUACAGUGUAUGAAUUAAACUUCAAUUUUAAAAUAG
RNAcentral lists this long non-coding RNA (1402 nucleotides) under Sus scrofa (pig). RNAcentral describes it as "lncRNA (ENSSSCG00005032401.1)". Lineage: Eukaryota; Metazoa; Chordata; Mammalia; Artiodactyla; Suidae. The record is from RNAcentral.